This 252-nucleotide ribosomal RNA is filed under the name uncultured bacterium. RNAcentral describes it as "partial 16S ribosomal RNA". It matches the Rfam family "Bacterial small subunit ribosomal RNA", at positions 524 to 776 of the family's 1533-position model. The record is from RNAcentral.
UACGUAGGGUGCGAGCGUUAAUCGGAAUUACUGGCGUAAAGCGUGCGCAGGCGGCUUUGCAAGACAGAUGUGAAAUCCCCGGGCUCAACCUGGGAACUGCAUUUGUGACUGCAAGGCUAGAGUACGGCAGAGGGGGAUGGAAUUCCGCGUGUAGCAGUGAAAUGCGUAGAUAUGCGGAGGAACACCAAUGGCGAAGGCAAUCCCCUGGGCCUGUACUGACGCUCAUGCACGAAAGCGUGGGGAGCAAACAGG